Pezoporus flaviventris is the source of this 504-nucleotide long non-coding RNA. RefSeq lists it as uncharacterized. NCBI's taxonomy places the organism in Eukaryota, Metazoa, Chordata, Aves, Psittaciformes, Psittacidae. The record is from RefSeq and is a predicted model, not a curated record. The transcript is spliced from 3 exons.
GGCAGCGGCUAACCUCCCCUGCCCGCGGGAGCUGAAAAGCUUCUGCGGGACAAGGAGCAUGUUCCGUGGGAAGGAAUAUCUGUGUACUGUGGAGCCCUCUUUCACAACCUUUUUCAAAGACUACAAGAGGAGAAACAACUAUGGCACCUGGGAGAGCCAGGGAAAGGGGAGCCGAGGCGUAACCCAGCCUUAGACCAAGUUCUAAGUGUAAGGAGAGUUUUGGUGUGUGUCUAACAGGUGUUCACCACGUGGGACUGCUGGGUGAAGAAGGCCUCUGGAGGGCUGCAGCAGGAUGCCAGGCCUUCAUCUCCUCCUACAUUCGGCAUCCCCAACAGCAGGAGUGUUUCCACCUCUCUGGAUGGGACCAGAAGGCUCGGAGGCCAGCAGGGAACGACAUAGGAGAAGAACUGAGCAGAGCCCAGACCCUCAAAGAACAGCUCCAGAAGCUCCAGGAAGAGUUUUAUCACCUGCAUUGGAGCAUAAAGGAUGUCACCGAGCGUGCUC